This is a non-coding RNA of Xyrichtys novacula (pearly razorfish), 7331 nucleotides long. The record is from the annotation of a GenBank genome assembly. NCBI's taxonomy places the organism in Eukaryota, Metazoa, Chordata, Actinopteri, Labriformes, Labridae.
AGUCUGGGACACGUAGUUGCAAACCUAGCGACUUUGUUGUUAGAUUCAAUGACUUUUCAGACACCCUAACGACUUUUUUUUUAGAAAGAAAGGGACUUUUAUCGACUUCUUCUGGAGUUUAGAGACUCUGACAUGAAGCAGGCUUUCCUUACUGAGGAGUUAGCAACGCUGCUAAGGGUGCAGAGCCACACAUGCGCUCAGAGCUCUGCAUGGGAGACUGAAGCUGACAGAGCUGCAGCAGUUAGCAGGUUUCACCCUCAGAGACCACCAGGGGUUCAUGUUGAGGCAUUUUAAUUUUUUUUUUUUUUUGUGCCAUAGACACUGUCAGCACAAUCUGCAGUUACACUAACAAAAAUGCUGCAAAAAACAAAGAAUUAUGGAAAAAUUACACAUGGACUGACAUAGAGGAGGAUCUACACAAGUUUUUUACAUCAUGUUUUACAUCAUGCAUCAUUUACAUCAUGUUUUUUUGUAGUGGCAUAAAUAAAAAGUGACAUUUGUGAGACUAUACAGUGUUUUGUAAAUAAUUUUACAAAGAACGCCUGGGCCAUUGCCUGCAUUUUGAUGUAAAUAGAGGUAAAUUACUAUGUUCUUUGUUAAAAAUUUGCAUAUGUUUUGAAGUUUACAAUUUUUAUUUGAAGUUUAAGUUUUAAAAACAGUUCAUCAGACAUAUUUGUGGUUUAAUUUCACAUUAAUUUCCAUAUUGUAUAAAUGACUGGAAAAAACUUGAGCCCCUGCCCCUGUAUAAUCAUGUGCACGUCCCUGUUCUAGCUCCAAGGUGAAUCUUCACUGCUCAUGUUCUCCUCAGAAGUAGUCACCUCACUCUCCUCAGGUUACUGUACACAUGCACCAACUAUCUGCUUCAGGUUUGGAUGGAGCUUCAUGGUUGUCUUUUGGAGAAAUGAACAGUCAAGUUGUGUUUGAAAUUUGAUUUUUUUCAGGGGCAAAAGGAAGCCUCUGCAUUCUUGUCAAAUAUGUAAACAGCAUGUUUUUGCAGGUGCUAAAAAACAGACUCUGAGUGUGUGUGUGUGUGUGUGUGUGUGUGUGUGUGUGUGUGUGUGUGUGUUGGCGUGUGUGUAUAUGUGUGUGUGUCCGGCAGUACUCUGUACUCCUGCAGUGGCCAAAAAGACUUUUAAGAAUGUGGAUUUUUGGGUCAUCUUUGGCGCCCCCUAGAACUGCAGUACUCUGUACUCCUGCAGUGGCCAAAAUGACUUUUAAGAAUGUGGAUUUUUGGGUCCUCUUUGGCGCCCCCUAGAACGUAAACCGUGGGGUGCAGCGUCAUGAUUUUUACAACUUUGAAUGGCCAUGGGGUGUGGAUUGGCCUGAGCAAAUUUGGUAUCAGUGGGACGAAAGCCUUAGGAGGAGUUAGCCACAUUCCAAUGUGUGCGAAUCGGCAAAAAAUGCGAAAUAGCCCUUUAACCAUACAUUUGACAGAUACGUGCCUAUUGACUUUUUUGUAGAUCUUAUUGAGAUACACGUGAUUGUCAAAUUGUGUGUCAAUAUGACAAAGUGUAUAGGCGUGACACUCAACAAUGUGUAUUUUUACCUUAGGAGACAAGAAAAAAUGGACUUUUUUCUCCUGCCAUGGGGGGGCGCUCUUUUGGGGAGUAAAAAUUCCUUCACAAAUGUGUUGAUGGCUGGACAUUGCAUCAUCCUAGAAAACUUGGAGGCCAGUGAGGACAAAAAUAAAAAGUUAUAAGACUUUUAAGAAUGUGGAUUUUUGUGUUAUCUUUGGCGCCCCCUAGAAAGUAAACCGUGGGGUGCAGCAUCAUGAUUUGUACAACUUUUAAUGGCCAUGGGGUGUAGAUUGGCCUGAGCAAACUUGGUGCCGGUGGAACGAAAGCCUUCGGAGGAGUUAGCGAAAUUCCAAUGUGUGCGGAUCGGCAAAAAAAGCGAAAUAGCCCUUUAACCGUACAUUUGGUAGAUACGCCCGCACUGACUUUUUCGUAGAUCUUAUUGAGAUACACAUGUGUGUCAAAUUUUGUGUCAUUUUGACAAAGCGUACAGGCAUCAGGUGAGUUUUCACCAUAGGGGGCGCUAUGGUGCCAUUUUUCAUUUUUUUGUUUGGACGACUUCAGAAUAUCAAAUUUUUCACCAGGCCCGGUCGUCCUGCCAAAUUUCCUGAGUUUUCGCCAGUGGGAAGUGGGCCAUUUUCCAGUUUAAAGCGGAGGAAAAAUAACGAAAGAAGAAUCCAUCAGGAACAAGAGGGCUCUCGCAGCUGCUUAGCAGCUACGCUCGGGCCCUAACUAGGGCCCCGUUGGGGCACUGGCGGGCCCGAGCCGUGUCACGCCGCCCCCAGCACGACCGCCUCCCCCACCCGAUCGCGUCACACUCAAGGUCCAAAGAUGGUGUGCGCACUUGUUUGUGGUCAUUUACCAUUAUAAUGAACGGGAGGCGCAGUUUCUACCAAAACGCUCGCUGCAGAAAAACUCCAUGUCCUAUUUGAAAAAAGUCUGGACCAUGAGUGAGGGCACAAACACAGCUAAGAUAUAUCCAAAUGGCAAGUUGCUCCUCCUUUCGCUUUUGCCGAGAGAGCAGUGCGUUUGAGCCAUUGAAUGAUGAACAGGAAAAACUUGACUUCAUUCUCCUGCCAUGGGGGGGCGCUCUUUUAACGAGAAAAAACUCCUUCACAAAUGUGUUGAUGACUGGACAUUGCAUCAUCCUAGAAAACAUGGAGGCCAGUGAGGACAAAAAUAAAAAGUUAUAAGACUUUUAAAUAUGUGGAUUUUAGGGUUAUCUUUGGCGCCCCCUAGAACCUAAACCGUGGGGUGCAGCGUCAUGAUUUGAAUAACUUUUAACGGCCAUGGGGUGUAGAUUGGCCUGAGCAAAUGUGGUGCCGGUGGAACGAAAGCCUUCGGAGGAGUUAGCGAAAUUCCAAUGUGUGCGAAUCUGCAAAAAAUGCGAAAUAACCCUUUAACCGUACAUUUUACAGAUACGUGGCCAUUGACUUUUUCGAAGAUCUUAUUGAAAGACACGUGUAUGUAAAAUUUUGUGUCAAUACGACAAAACAUACAGGCGUAGCACUCAACAAUGUGUAUUUUCACCUUAAUGGACAAGAAAAAAUGGACUUUUUUCUCCUGCCAUGGGGGGGCGCUCUUUUGGCGAGUAAAAAUUCCUUCACAAAUGUGUUGAUGGCUGGACAUUGCAUCAUCCUAGAAAACUUGGAGGCCAGUGGGGACAAAAAUAAAAAGUUAUAAGACUUUUAAAUAUGUGGAUUUUACGGUUAUCUUUGGCGCCCCCUAGAACCUAAACCGUGGGGUGCAGCGUCAUGAUUUGAAUAACUUUUAAUGGCCAUGGGGUGUAGAUUGGCCUGAGAAAAUGUGGUGCCGGUGGAACGAAAGCCUUCGGAGGAGUUAGCGAAAUUCCAAUGUGUGCGGAUCGGCAAAAAAUGCGGAAUAACCCUUUAACCGUACAUUUGACAGAUACGUGCGCAUUGACUUUUUUGUAGAUCUUAUUGAGAUACAUGUGUGUGUCAAUUUUGGUGUCAUUUUGCCAAAGCGUACAGGUGUUACACUCAACAAUGUGUAUUUUCACCUUAGGGGACAAGAAAAAAUGGACUUUUUUCUCCUGCCAUGGGGGGGCGCUCUUUUGGGGAGUAAAAAUUCCUUCACAAAUGUGUUGAUGGCUGGACAUUGCAUCAUCCUAGAAAACUUGGAGGCCAGUGAGGGCAAAAAUAAAAAGUUAUAAGACUUUUAAAUAUGUGGAUCUUAGGGUUAUAUUUGGCGCCCCCUAGAACCUAAACCGUGGGGUGCAGCGUCAUGAUUUGAAUAACUUUUAAUGGCCAUGGGGUGUAGAUUGGCCUGAGCAAAUGUGGUGCCGGUGGAACGAAAGCCUUCGGAGGAGUUAGCGAAAUUCCAAUGUGUGCGGAUCGGCAAAAAAUGCGAAAUAACCCUUUAACCGUACAUUUGACAGAUACGCCCGCACUGACUUUUUUGUAGAUCUUUUUGAGAUACAUGUGUGUGUCAAUUUUUGUGUCAUUUUGACAAAGCGUACACGCGUGACAGUCAAUAGUGUGAAUUUUCACCUUAGGGGGCGCUAUGGAGCCAUUUUGCAUUUUCUUGUUUGGGCGACUUCGGAAUAUCAAAUUUUUCACCAGGCCCGGUCGUCCUGCCAAAUUUCAUGAGUUUUCACCAGUGGGAAGUGGGCCAUUUUCCAGUUCAAAGGGGAGGAAAAAUAACUAGGGCCCCGGUGGGGCACUGUCGGGCCCGAGCCGCGUCGCGCCGCCCCUAGCGCGACCGCCUCCCCCUCCCGAUCGCGUCACACUCAAGGUCCAAAGAUGGUGUGCGCACUUGUCUGUGGUCAUUUCCCAUUAUAAUGAAUGGGAGGCGCAGUUUCUACCAAAACACUCGCUGCAGACAAACUUCAUGUCCUAUUUGAAAAAAGUCUGGACCAUGAGUGAGGGCACAAACACAGCUAUGAUAUAUCGAAAUGGCAGGUUGCUCCUCCUUACGGUGUUGCCUGGAGAGCGAUGCGAUUGAGCCAUUGAGCGAUGGGCAGGGUUAACUUGACUUUUUCUCCUGCCUUGGGGGGGGAUGUGGAUUCCUUUAAGAAUGUGGAUUUUUGGGUCAUCUUUGGCGCCCCCUAGAACGUAAACCGUGGGGUGCAGCGUCAUGAUUUUUACAACUUUGAAUGGCCAUGGGGUGUAGAUUGGCCUGAGCAAAUUUGGUGUCAGUGGGACGAAAGCCUUAGGAGGAGUUAGCCACAUUCCAAUGUGUGCGAAUCGGCAAAAAAUGCAAAAUAGCCCUUUAACCGUACAUUUGACAGAUACGCGCACAUUGACUUUUUUGUAGAUCUUAUUGAGAUACAUAUGUGUGUCAAUUUUUGUGUCAAUAUGAUAAAGCGUACAGGCGUGACAGUCAAUAGUGUGAAUUUCCACCUUAGGGGACAAGAAAAAAUUGACUUUUUUCUCCUGCCAUGGGGGGGCGCUCUUUUGGGGAGUAAAAAUUCCUUCACAAAUGUGUUGAUGGCUGGACAUUGCAUCAUCCUAGAAAACUUGGAGGCCAGUGAGGACAAAAAUAAAAAGUUAUAAGACUUUUAAAUAUGUGGAUUUUAGUGUUAUCUUUGGCGCCCCCUAGAACCUAAACCUUGGGGUGCAGCGUCAUGAUUUGAAUAACUUUUAAUGGCCAUGGGGUGUAGAUUGGCCUGAGCAAAUGUGGUGCCGGUGGAACGAAAGCCUUCGGAGGAGUUAGCGAAAUUCCAAUGUGUGCGGAUCGGCAAAAAAUGCGGAAUAACCCUUUAACCGUACAUUUGACAGAUACGCGCGCAUUGACUUUUUCGUAGAUCUUAUUGAGAUACAUGUGUGUGUCAAUUUUUGUGUCAUUUUGCCAAAGCAUACAGGUGUUACACUCAACAAUGUGUAUUUUCACCUUAGGGGACAAGAAAAAAUGGACUUUUUUCUCCUGCCAUGGGGGGCGCUCUUUUGGGGAGUAAAAAUUCCUUCACAAAUGUGUUGAUGGCUGGACAUUGCAUCAUCCUAGAAAACUUGGAGGCCAGUGAGGGCAAAAAUAAAAAGCUAUAAGACUUUUAAAUAUGUGGAUCUUAGGGUUAUCUUUGGCGCCCCCUAGAACCUAAACCGUGGGGUGCAGCGUCAUGAUUUGAAUAACUUUUAAUGGCCAUGGGGUGUAGAUUGGCCUGAGCAAAUGUGGUGCCGGUGGAACGAAAGCCUUCGGAGGAGUUAGCGAAAUUCCAAUGUGUGCGGAUCGGCAAAAAAUGCGAAAUAACCCUUUAACCGUACAUUUGACAGAUACGCCCGCACUGACUUUUUUGUAGAUCUUAUUGAGAUACAUGUGUGUGUCAAUUUUUGUGUCAUUUUGACAAAGCGUACACGCGUGACAGUCAAUAGUGUGAAUUUUCACCUUAGGGGGCGCUAUGGAGCCAUUUUGCAUUUUCUUGUUUGGGCGACUUCGGAAUAUCAAAUUUUUCACCAGGCCCGGUCGUCCUGCCAAAUUUCAUGAGUUUUCGCCAGUGGGAAGUGGGCCAUUUUCCAGUUCAAAGGGGAGGAAAAAUAAUAACUAGGACCCCGUUGGGGCACUGGCGGGCCCGAGCCGUGUCGCGUCCCCCCCCAACGUGCUGCCUCCCCGUCCCAUUUGUGUCCUCUGGCCAUCGCCCUCUCUGGUAACGCCCAUCACUGCAAAGACCCUUUUCCUUCAUUGGCGUUUGCUGUUCUUCUUGCCAGUGCGUGUUGCUUUCACUUACACUUGCCACAGCCAGCCUCGUGAGUGCCUAGCCUAUUGGAUAUCACUGUCACCUACACAGGACAGUCAUUACCUUUCUAUUAAUACUUUGUGUUUUAAUUUCACAUUAAUUUCCAUAUUGUAUAAACGACUGGAAAAAACUUGAGCCCCUGCCCCUGUAUAAUCAUGUGCAUGUCUCUGUUCUAGCUCCAAGGUGAAUCUUCACUGCUCAUGUUCUCCUCAGAAGCACUCACCUCACUCCCCUCAGGUUACUGUACACAUGCACCAACUGCCUGCUUCAGGUUUGGAUGGAGCUUCAUGGUUGUCUUUUGGAGAAAUGACCAGUCAAGUUGUGUUUGAAAUUUGAUUUUUUUCAGGGGCAAAAGGAGCCUCUGCAUUCUUGUCAAAUAUGUAAAUAGCAUGUUUUUGCAGGUGCUAAAAACCAGACUCUGAGUGUGUGUGUGUGUGCGUGUGUGUGUGUCUGUGUGUGUGUUCAAGUCACAUGACAUAUUUAACCGGAUGUAGCUGCAAGACGGAGCCUCGUUGACUCUCCGUUUCAACUUAUCUCAAAAGUGAGGACCUCAACCUAUAUACCAGUUUUUAAAUUGUGAUGAUAGGCCAAAUAAAACCAGAGUUAUGAUAAAUUAUGUCCGCGAUACUUUUUUUCUGCUUAUUUUGAUCACGUUCGGCGCUCGAUCGCGCUGUAUGAGACAGGAAAACAUAGCAUGCAGACAUUAGCGACAGCUCUUACAGGCGGAAAAGGCUUGCCAAAAGAAAAAAAAACACACCACAACAUCUCUCCUAUUGGUGGAAAACUUCACCACAACAACCAAUCCAAAAUUAUAUGGUGACUGAUUGACAAGGGGCGGGCGCUUACGUUCUUCCUGCAACAUGAGAAGCGAGGGAGGGACUCUCAGCAGGGAUGCAGUCUGGGACACGUAGUUGCAAACCUAGCGACUUUGUUGUUAGAUUCAAUGACUUUUCAGACCCCCUAACGACUUUUUUUUUAGAAAGAAAGGGACUUUUAUCGACUUCUUCUGGAGUUUAGAGACUCUGACAUGAAGCAGGCUUUCCUUACUGAGGAGUUAGCAAUGCUGCUAAGGGUGCAGAGCCACACAUGCGCUCAGAGCUCUGCAUGGGAGACUGAAGCUGACAGAG